This 402-nucleotide ribosomal RNA is filed under the name Bacteroidota bacterium. RNAcentral's name for it is "Bacteroidetes bacterium partial 16S ribosomal RNA". It matches the Rfam family "Bacterial small subunit ribosomal RNA", at positions 355 to 776 of the family's 1533-position model. The record is from RNAcentral. Lineage: Bacteria; Pseudomonadati; Bacteroidota.
UGGGGAAUUUUGCACAAUGGGGGAAACCCUGAUGCAGCGACGCCGCGUGAUUUAGAAGGCCUUCGGGUUGUAAAAAUCUUUUGUAUAGGAAGAAAAUGACAGUACUAUACGAAUAAGGACCGGCUGAUUACGUGCCAGCAGCCGCGGUAAUACGUAAGGUCCGAGCGUUGUCCGGAAUCAUUGGGCGUAAAGGGUACGUAGGCGGGUAAGCAAGUUAGAAGUGAAAUCCUAUAGCUCAACUAUAGUAAGCUUUUAAAACUGCUCAUCUUGAGAUAUGGAAGGGAAAGUGGAAUUCCUAGUGUAGCGGUGAAAUGCGCAGAUAUUAGGAGGAAUACCGGUGGCGAAGGCGACUUUCUGGCCAUAAUCUGACGCUGAGGUACGAAAGCGUGGGUAGCAAACAGG